GGUCAGAUAGCCAAGUGGUUAAGGCCACCUAGAAUUGUGUCUCAGCUAACACUGAGGUCCCUGGUUUGAAUCUGGGUCUGAUCA
Molecule: transfer RNA, 84 nt
Filed under: Cronartium ribicola 11-2
Lineage: Eukaryota; Fungi; Basidiomycota; Pucciniomycetes; Pucciniales; Coleosporiaceae
Description: tRNA-Leu (CAG) (tRNA-Leu-CAG-11-1)
Rfam family: tRNA
About the family: Transfer RNA (tRNA) molecules are approximately 80 nucleotides in length. Their secondary structure includes four short double-helical elements and three loops (D, anti-codon, and T loops). Further hydrogen bonds mediate the characteristic L-shaped molecular structure. tRNAs have two regions of fundamental functional importance: the anti-codon, which is responsible for specific mRNA codon recognition, and the 3' end, to which the tRNAs corresponding amino acid is attached (by aminoacyl-tRNA synthetases). tRNAs cope with the degeneracy of the genetic code in two manners: having more than one tRNA (with a specific anti-codon) for a particular amino acid; and 'wobble' base-pairing, i.e. permitting non-standard base-pairing at the 3rd anti-codon position.
Source: RNAcentral